RNAcentral lists this ribosomal RNA (355 nucleotides) under uncultured soil bacterium. Its description in RNAcentral is "bacterial SSU rRNA". It matches the Rfam family "Bacterial small subunit ribosomal RNA", at positions 26 to 367 of the family's 1533-position model. The record is from RNAcentral.
AGAACGAACGCUGGCGGCAUGCCUAAUACAUGCAAGUCGAACGAACACUUCGGUGUUAGUGGCGCACGGGUGAGUAACACGUAGGUAAUCUACCUUCGGAUGGGGAAUAACAACCGGAAACGGUUGCUAAUAACCGCAUAAUGCAGCGGCACCUAAUGGUGACAGUUGUUAAAGCGGGGGAUCGAAAGACCUCGCGUCUAGAAGAGGAGCCUGCGGCGGAUUAGCUAGUUGGUAAGGUAAUGGCUUACCAAGGCUACGAUCCGUAACCGGCCUGACGGAGGGCGGUCGGUCACGACUGACACUGGACAUACGGGUCAGACUCCGUACGGGAGGCAGUCCAGGUCGGGUAAGUUUU